This 472-nucleotide ribosomal RNA is filed under the name Bacillus sp. (in: firmicutes). Its description in RNAcentral is "bacterial SSU rRNA". It matches the Rfam family "Bacterial small subunit ribosomal RNA", at positions 21 to 486 of the family's 1533-position model. Lineage: Bacteria; Bacillati; Bacillota; Bacilli; Caryophanales; Bacillaceae. The record is from RNAcentral.
GGCUCAGGACGAACGCUGGCGGCGUGCCUAAUACAUGCAAGUCGAGCGGACAGAUGGGAGCUUGCUCCCUGAUGUUAGCGGCGGACGGGUGAGUAACACGUGGGUAACCUGCCUGUAAGACUGGGAUAACUCCGGGAAACCGGGGCUAAUACCGGAUGGUUGUUUGAACCGCAUGGUUCAAACAUAAAAGGUGGCUUCGGCUACCACUUACAGAUGGACCCGCGGCGCAUUAGCUAGUUGGUGAGGUAACGGCUCACCAAGGCAACGAUGCGUAGCCGACCUGAGAGGGUGAUCGGCCACACUGGGACUGAGACACGGCCCAGACUCCUACGGGAGGCAGCAGUAGGGAAUCUUCCGCAAUGGACGAAAGUCUGACGGAGCAACGCCGCGUGAGUGAUGAAGGUUUUCGGAUCGUAAAGCUCUGUUGUUAGGGAAGAACAAGUACCGUUCGAAUAGGGCGGUACCUGACGUA